RNAcentral lists this transfer RNA (121 nucleotides) under Polyangiaceae bacterium. Its description in RNAcentral is "tRNA-OTHER". It matches the Rfam family "tRNA". From Rfam's summary of the family: Transfer RNA (tRNA) molecules are approximately 80 nucleotides in length. The record is from RNAcentral. Lineage: Bacteria; Pseudomonadati; Myxococcota; Polyangiales; Polyangiaceae.
GGAAUGGUAGCUCGGCGGCAGAGCAUCGUGAGGGCGCGCAUGGGUUGGAGCAGCGGCAAUUGCCAAGGCACCAUGGUCGGAGCGUACACGAAGGUCGCCGGUUCGAAUCCGGUCCGUUCCC